CCCAGGUGAAACUACCCAGGGCAAUCAGAGUCUGCAAGCUCUUACUGAGCUCUGGCAAACCUCUUUAUAAACCCAGACUAACGAUCCCCAGUGAAUUCAGGUAUGACAGCAAGGCAAAGGACAAAAAUAAAGCAGCCAAGGCCAUUAAAAGCAAGAAGGGGCCUGAAACAACUGAACAGGACUGAAGACAGUAUGAUCCCUUCCUCUACAUGAUGCAAUCAGCAGCCUGCUAGACAGACUCAGGUCUAGAAUGGAAACAGCAUGAAGUGAAAGGCGGGAGGAGAGGGUGUGUGGAAUAAAAAUAAAGCUAUCUUUCAUAGAUCACAUGGUCCCACCAGGAACUAUGGAAACCUC
Molecule: long non-coding RNA, 354 nt
Organism: Pezoporus flaviventris
Lineage: Eukaryota; Metazoa; Chordata; Aves; Psittaciformes; Psittacidae
Exons: 2
Source: RefSeq, a predicted model, not a curated record